Molecule: small nuclear RNA, 109 nt
Organism: Chlorocebus sabaeus (green monkey)
Lineage: Eukaryota; Metazoa; Chordata; Mammalia; Primates; Cercopithecidae
Source: Rfam
GUUAAAAACUUCAGUAGCACAUAUACUAAAAACUGGAAUGACACAGAGAAGAUUAACACAGCUUCCGCACAAGAAUGAAACACAAAUUCCUGAAGCAUUCCAUAAAAAA